ACAGACAGAUCAUGAACUGGGAGCCACGUGGAAAGAAGACUAGCUUGGAACUCAGUCAGGAUCCUGUCCUGGGUUUCUUCCAGAUCACCCUCCAAUCAUCCAUCUGGUCUCAAUCUCCAGUGCCUUUGGUUUUGGAAAUGCUACCAGCGUGAUGACUGCAUUUUCAGUGGUGGACAUUUUUGAUAUGCCUCAGAAGCAAGGACUUACAGGAAAAUCUACUUCCCAGUGGUACUCAGAAGGCAUUGCCCAAGUGCAAGAAGAGAAGUAGACUCCAUCUUUCUAAAGGAAAGGAACAAGUUCCGCAGGCAUGCGUGGGAAUGGGAAUAUUAACACGGCCAUUCCGGGAAAAUACAGCCUGGCACCGUAAGGCAUACAGAGCUGCUGGAUAAAAUAUAACAAAACUAUUUUACAUAUGUGGAGGGCAGAUGAAAUUCUUAUGUGCUAAAAGAAGACCCCCAUAAGCAACAUG
Molecule: long non-coding RNA, 469 nt
Organism: Pipistrellus kuhlii (Kuhl's pipistrelle)
Lineage: Eukaryota; Metazoa; Chordata; Mammalia; Chiroptera; Vespertilionidae
Exons: 4
Source: RefSeq, a predicted model, not a curated record